This 427-nucleotide ribosomal RNA is filed under the name uncultured bacterium. Its description in RNAcentral is "bacterial SSU rRNA". It matches the Rfam family "Bacterial small subunit ribosomal RNA", at positions 355 to 774 of the family's 1533-position model. The record is from RNAcentral.
UGGGGAAUUUUGGACAAUGGGCGCAAGCCUGAUCCAGCAAUGCCGCGUGCAGGAUGAAGGCCUUCGGGUUGUAAACUGCUUUUGUACGGAGCGAAAAGGUCUGCCCUAAUACGGUGGGCUCAUGACGGUACCGUAAGAAUAAGCACCGGCUAACUACGUGCCAGCAGCCGCGGUAAUACGUAGGGUGCAAGCGUUAAUCGGAAUUACUGGGCGUAAAGCGUGCGCAGGCGGUUAUAUAAGACAGAUGUGAAAUCCCCGGGCUCAACCUGGGACCUGCAUUUGUGACUGUAUAGCUAGAGUACGGUAGAGGGGGAUGGAAUUCCGCGUGUAGCAGUGAAAUGCGUAGAUAUGCGGAGGAACACCGAUGGCGAAGGCGGCUUUCUGGAUCAUAUCUGACGCUGAGGCGCGAAAGCGUGGGGAGCAAACA